This 219-nucleotide unclassified non-coding RNA is filed under the name uncultured Tomentella. RNAcentral describes it as "sequence contains ITS2". The record is from RNAcentral. Lineage: Eukaryota; Fungi; Basidiomycota; Agaricomycetes; Thelephorales; Thelephoraceae.
ACAUCUCAACUCCUCACGGUUUGCCCGUGAUGAGCUUGGACUUUGGGGGUCUUGCUGGCCUGCAGGUCGGCUCCUCUCAAAUGAAUCAGCUUGCCGGUGUUUGGCGGCGUCACAGGUGUGAUAACGAUCUACGCUCGUGGUUGUUGACCAGGUAACCUCCAGUGAUGGAGGUUCACCGGAGCUCAUAAACGUCUCUCCUCAGCAAGGACAUUUUUUCAA